CUAACUGCUGUCAGAAACAGAUUAAAACAACCGUGCAGACCCCAAUAUCCGAAGAUUAUGCAGCUCCACUCUCCCCCUCGGGGAGGGCUGUGGAUCCUGAUGCGGAUCCUGACGCGGAUCCUGACGGUAGCUGCCUGGACCCCGCCUGAGGCCUUGCCUGCAGCUUCACGGAUUCACAUUGCCACCAGUUCUCUUCCUGGGGAAAUUAUUUCAGAAUAAAUCUUAAAUGCCCUGUUGCCUUUACUGAGUUCUGGCAGGUUCGUUCCUGGUGGUGAAACCAUCCCAGAAUGCCCAGGGGUAUUACAGAGGUGGCAGGCAGAUGCCACUCACAUCUCCAGUAUCCCUGGGGCUUCCUCAGAGGCCCUUCACUGAACACUGAACAGAAGUUUUG
Molecule: long non-coding RNA, 391 nt
Filed under: Equus caballus (horse)
Lineage: Eukaryota; Metazoa; Chordata; Mammalia; Perissodactyla; Equidae
Description: lncRNA (ENSECAG00000051778.1)
Source: RNAcentral